Molecule: long non-coding RNA, 1165 nt
Organism: Maniola jurtina (meadow brown)
Lineage: Eukaryota; Metazoa; Arthropoda; Insecta; Lepidoptera; Nymphalidae
Exons: 3
Source: RefSeq, a predicted model, not a curated record
UUUCGAUUCGCCUUGCAGGGAGAUGGCGUAGUUACAAAAAUUUAAAAAGGAUAACGAUAGUUUAGGCUGGGAGUUUUACUAAAAAUGCUUUAGGAUAAAGUUUGCCACGCGGCGGGUGGGGGUCGUUCAUCACGAUGUGGUGGCGACAUGGGAUUUAAGAAAUUCAAACGAAUUUAAGAAAUUUAAACAGAUUUAAGAAAUUUCAACAGUUUUCAACAAUUUAAACAGAUUAGAAAAUUUAAACAACUUGAUAAGAAAAUCAUCAUCAUGGUCCCCUAACAACCUAAUAAUUUUAAAAACCAUGAUUGGGUUAUAAAAUAACGCUGAAAUUUGAGAUUUAACACGCGUUUUGCUCGCUUCACGUUUGGAUUGAGGAAGCGUGCAACGCCAGCAAAUCCAUAGGAAUCUCUUGCAUCCUUCACCUUGCUCGUCCGCAUGACACACGGCCACCGUCUGUAUGAGCCGCGCGUCCGGAGCGAAGCUUGAUUUUCGGAACAGGUGUUUUCCUAAAUCUUCAGGAUUUAUAAGGUGGAUUCUCUCCAACAUAUUAACUUUUUUAUUUUAAGCUAAUUCAACUACUUUUGUAUUUUGGUUUACAUUUAUAUUAAUUGAUGGUUUACACUAGAUUGUGACUUAUACGUUCCUAAAAUCGUAACCUAUCAUUAAGACGAGUAACCUAAGAUCAUAGUUGAGGUGCGUUGAAUGCGGACAGCACCUUGAGAUAGUAUAAUGCAUCUCUCAUGUCUCUGUAACUAGUCGAGUUAACUUUAAUUGUAAAUCUAUAACCAACAAAAGAAGAAUUAAAUAACUAUUUCUAAGGUACUCGAGGUUUCAAUUUAAUAAUUAUCUUUUUCCACAUAAAUCCCUGGCUGUACAGAGCUGAUUCUGUUAGCAUGUCUAGGUCCUAGCAACGCACCUAGAGUUCCUGAAAGACCUAGGACCUGGAUAUGCUACAGUGGCGCUCCAACGGGUAUUAACUAUAUUUUAUUUUCCCCUGAGUGCUACAGUGGCACUCAACGGGUAUAAAUUAUACUUUAUUUUUCUCCUGAGUGUUAUAGUGGCACUCAACAACUUCAAAAAUUUUCAUAUUUAAAUUAUACACUAUAUUUUUUCUCCCCAGUGCUACAGUGGCGCUUUUCGGGUUUAAAAACUUUUGUUUCACACA